This 3321-nucleotide long non-coding RNA is filed under the name Bos taurus (domestic cattle). RNAcentral's name for it is "long non-coding RNA NONBTAT031353". The record is from RNAcentral. Lineage: Eukaryota; Metazoa; Chordata; Mammalia; Artiodactyla; Bovidae.
GGAAUUUUGAAACUUAACAAAUCCCAAAAAGGCUAAGAAUCACUGUUCUAUAUCCAUAAGAGUUUUUUUAUAUCAUGACUAUAAAUGUCAAUAUCAAAGAUUAUAGCAUAAGUUUUAGAGACCCUCUUUAAAAAAAAAAACAUCUUUUAUUCUUUUUUCCUUUAGUUUUUCAACCUUGGAAAUUGGCUUGGCAAUUUGGACCAAAAUCAGGGUUGAUGUCCGCUAAGGCAUAUGACUGCAAGUCUUGGGAGGGUCCUACCUUCUUACCUCCUCUAAGGAUCUUUUUCAAAGGUGUUUGGCUGUUUCUGCUAGUGAUUGCAUUCUUACAUGAAUUUCCACUGGGAUUCCUUGGCUUGUUUGUAUUGUCUGGCCAGGUCCACAAGCAUCUUUGCAUGCCACUCGAGUGGUGAGUCUGAUUUGAUACCACGGGGAUUCAUGGAAAGAUUCCAGACAAUCCACAAGUGACCACUGUCUUCUUUUAGACCUACUGGGAUGGUGAUGAUAGAAGGAAGCUAUCUGCUGCUCUUGUCUAUUUCUAUAGUCAUUGGUGGUGUGGAAUGUCUAAAUACUCACGCUUAAGAUUUUCCCUGAGGACUGUUAAUUGAUAACCCAAGUAUGGAUGGCUCUGUCGAAAAGUUCUGACUAGUUCUUAUCACAAAGGCAAUCUGACUGACAUAAGACAGCUACACUGAGAGUAUGUAGAAAACUGGUAGGUUGUGUAUAUGUUCGACUGGGUUUAUAUGGUAGGAAACCCCUGACAUGGAAAUCACUUAAAUUUUCCUACAUCUCUAGUUGUUUCACCACAAGAAAGCAUUAAGCUUUACUUUCUGGGGAUUUCUGCCCAAGUUUGGUCUCCUAACAUUAGGUAUUGAUGUCUUAUGCAUAACAUAUUUCACAGUUACUAAAGUUAGGGCAUGGAAAGAACAGUAUUUUAAUAAUCAUUCCCAAUAUCCAGCAGAGGACCUGGCACAUAACAUUCAGUAAAGAUUUGCAUGAUUAAGUUAAUUCAGCUCCAUGUUUCUGAUAACAAAUCUCCAGAAGUCUGUUUUAUUGGCCUAAUGAGUGAAUUCAAACAUUCCUUUUUUCCAUCUGCUUAAUGGAAACAACCUUUCCUCAUAUAUUGAAGCAAUACUUCAAAUCUGAAUUACCCUAAAACACAUGACUGCAUUUUAAAUUUCAUUUGUGGUAAUAACAAAAUGAAUUAUAGUGAAUUCUGAAACUGAUACCUCUGUUGGAGGCAACCCAUGAUAGCAAGGGCUUCUCUUAAUGUAGAUUAGCCCUUUUUGAGGGAAAUUUUAGACAAAAUUGGAACCAUAGUAUAUUCAUAUUCAUGUAACAGUGAUUUGCUCUGAGGGUUUCAGAAUGCUGAAAUCUAUGGCGUGUAAUGAUCUGAAAGCUAGGGUAUGGGAGCUGAAAGGGGACCUCAAACCAUGUUCUUGGUUUAGAGAUGAGGAAACCGGUCCCAUUCUGCUACUCAACUGAAUCAACUGCAACUCAAGCAGAAUCAAAAUGUGACAAUCAGACUUCCAUCCACUGUUCUUCUUUCACCCUAAGUGGAAACCUGUACUACUAGAGUGUUUGUGAUCAAGGACAUAAUAAGUGAAAACACUUUCUGUGUCUUUUUGAAGUCUUUAUGAAGACUUACAUAAAGCCAGUGUAUUUAUCCUUCAUAGUUCUAAUUUGAAUAGGGUCUCUGCCACACCCUAUUCCCUGGUUCAGUGAGUUCCCAUAGCAUUUUGUUCUGGAGUAGAAUUGAACCAGGAGGAUCUUAGAUUUCUCCUUGCUCACCUAACCCAUUUAUGCAUUUAUGGAGUGCUUAUUGUGAUUCCAGGCACUAUACCUAAUACGACUUGGGUGAGUAUGAACCUGCUCCUUAGCAAGUUACUGUAGGUCUCUCUACUUCAGAUUCUUCAUCUAUAAAACAAUAAUUACUUUAAAGGAUUGUUUUUGAGAAUAAAAUGAGAUGAUAUAUAUAAACCAUUCAGCCCAGCACCUGGUACUUAGUAAAUACUCAAAACAGCAUUUUGCAGAUAAAGUAAUUGAGAGGUCAGUUUUUCUUUCUUCUACAUUUUUUAUUUCUAGGAAAAACAAAACUGACAUGUUCUUUGGAAUCUAGGCCUUGUGUAUUUAUCUGUGUCUGUCUCGAAGUCUACUUGUCGAGGUUAACUGAUGGUCAUGGCCCAGUCACUCUAGAACAUCAAAAAGUUAACUUCAUUUGCUCACUGCCCUACAGACAGACUAAAUGCAUGUGAAUGACAGCCAGUUCUACCCAGUGGUGAGGAGCCUCAUCUCAUCCCAGAUCCCUUUCAGCUUAAAAUCCUUUAAUGGUUCCUAUGGUCUUUGGGAUACAAAUUCAACUUAGCACAGUGAUCUUGCCUCUGCUUUUCUCUUUCUGGGCCUGUAGCUUGCCACCUACAUUGUGCUUUAUGUUUCUGUCAUAUUUAACUAUUUGAUGUUCUUAAAUACUUUGAUUGUCAUAAUUUCCCAGCUCCACCACCACACAUGCUGUUUUUGUUUUUUAACCUGGGAUGACUAUUGCUCUCCACUCAGUUUCCCCACUGCACAUAUGACAUGUAGACACAUAUGGAAAGGUGUUUUCUUUGUUCCCAUAGUACCUGAUGUGCAUUUCACUUUUUUGGCCAUGAUGCUCAACUUGUGGGAUCUUAGUUCUCUGACCAGGGAUUGAACCUGGGCCAUCAGCAGAGAGAACACAGAGCCCUAAUCACUGGGCCACCAGGGAAGUCCCCCGAUACAUAUUUAUUUAUCAGUACACACCACGUUGUUUUCCCAGUUUGUGUCUCCCCACCAGACUGAGCUCCUUGGCAUCUGAAUCUGUUUUCUAUCUUUCUGUUUCCAACAGCCAGCCCAGUGCCUGGCUCAGAACAAGCAUCCAAAGAAUGAAUGAAUGAAUGGUAUAAAACAGACUUGGUCAUAGAAACUGAAGAUGGAAAAGACCUGAGGACAUCUAGUCCAUCCACGUGAUUGUACAAGAAAAGUGGCUGGAGCAAAACAGCCUGUUCACUUCAUGCUCACAAGACAGCAUUUCAGUCCUUCCUGGAGUGGAGCGAUUGCACACACAUUAAAGUGAAGACACAAUGCAAACACUCUUUACAAACCUUAAGAAAAUACUUAUAGAACAUGGAGGCAAUUCAAGCAAUGCUGACAACAGUAAGCCUGCUUUCAGCCCCUGCAGCUUCUGGCCGCAUCCUGGCUGCAGUUUUGGCCACACAGUUCAUCAGGAGAUAUUUGAGAAGCCAUGCCCUGGUCAUCUACUUUGUGGAUGGGCAGGGUGGUCUGGCAUGUUAUCACCACUGCUCAGAA